UGUAUUUUUUCCCACAAUUUCAGACUAAAGCAUUUAGUUUCUCUCUCCUCCUUCAUUUGCAUCCGCAACCUUUCUCUCUCCUAUUUUCUCCAUUCUUCUUCAAAUUACAUUCUACUUCUUCAAAUCACAGUUGUAAAUCUUAUAAUUACUUCGAUUCUUCAUCAAAUUGGUUGAUAUUAUCGUCUACGAUCUAUCAAUUCAAACGCAGCAUGUAGUGACAGAAUUAGACACACACACGCUGUGUUUGAUUGUGUUGCUGUCAAAGACUUGUGGGAUGCAGCUAAUUGCACACAAUUGUUUGGCUGUCAUAAGGAGUAAAGCAUGAUUGUUUUCUGGCAGAAAUUUAAUCCCAAAUUGGUGCGAAAAGGCGUGGCUCUAAUGUGGUAUAUUUGGGGUUGUAGGAAUGAUAAGAUAUUCAAUAACAAGGACACUCCUCAUCAUCCUGUUAUUAUUGAGAGAACCCUACGAUUUGUGGAGGACUUUGAUAAGUACUCUGAUAAGAUUUAUGGGUUAGAAAACCCUCUGCUGGAAGUAUGUCAAAGAGCUAGAAGGCACCUACAGUAGGAGUGCUUAAGGCUAAUUGUGAUGCUUGAUCUUGUGGUAAAUUGGAGUGCUUACGACUGGCUAGGUGAAUGAAGGUGGCUGUUAGUUGUUGCAGGAAUGCGUAGCUAUUAUGUAUAUAGCAAUCUUAAUUUAAAUAUUGUAACAUUGAUGUAGUUACCUUAUUUUUGUAUAUAGUGACCUUUAUUUUGUGUAUAGUGACCUUUAUGUAAAUAGAGUCAAAAACUCAAAAUCGAUAUAGUUACCUUAUUUCUGUACAUAGUGAACUUUAUGUAAAUGGUGUUAAAAACUCAAAGUCGAUAUAGUUACCUUAUUUCUGUACAUAGUGAUCUUUAUGUGAAUGUUGUCAAAAUUGAUAUAAUUA
Chenopodium quinoa (quinoa) is the source of this 925-nucleotide long non-coding RNA. RefSeq lists it as uncharacterized. The transcript has 2 exons. Lineage: Eukaryota; Viridiplantae; Streptophyta; Magnoliopsida; Caryophyllales; Amaranthaceae. The record is from RefSeq and is a predicted model, not a curated record.